This 1005-nucleotide long non-coding RNA is filed under the name Fukomys damarensis (Damara mole-rat). Its description in RNAcentral is "lncRNA (ENSFDAG00000027574.1)". The record is from RNAcentral. Lineage: Eukaryota; Metazoa; Chordata; Mammalia; Rodentia; Bathyergidae.
GCAGCCCAGGCUGGCCUGGAACUUGCCUUGAACCUCCUGCUUCAGCCUCCAGAGUGCUGGGAUGACAGGCUUACACCACCAAGCCCUGCUACAAACCAAAACUUUAGUUAUUCCUUUUUUACCACUAAAAAUAUAUUGGGAGGGAACAAAGGGAGGAUAAAUUAUAACCUACAUAAGGACCAACUACCUGACUGGUUUUGAUCAUAUGCAGAAAAAAUAAUCACCUCCAGGCAUCCUUUAAUCAAAGUCAGAUUUAACAUACAUUUACACAGACCUACUUGCCUCCACGGUGUCAGAUAUUCAGGAGUGGUUUUAUCCAGUGAAGCAGUCCACACUGCAUUCCCAUCUUGUUUUAUUUAUUGUUUUUUUGAGACAGAGUCUUGACAUGUAGUUCAAGCUGGCCUCCAACUCACAGCAAUCCUCCUGCCUCAGCCUCCCAGGUGCUGGGGAUCACAGCUCUGUGCCACCAAACCCAGCCUCCCAACCUUUCUAAUGUUACUGCCAGAGUUACCAGCGUGACUUCCUGUUGGGAUUCAUCUGUCCUAAGUGUGAAUAAAUGAGAGGCCAGAAGACAAGGGAUAACAGAUCAACAUACUCCAAGUCAGCUCGACCGCUCCGGCCGCAGCCCACCGCGGGAACACGCAGGCGCAGGGCGCCCGCCCACCGAGGAUUCGCGCGCUCGCCGGCCUGCGGCUUCUCACGGCGGGACUUCCGGUUGUGCUUACUUCUGGGUCCACCCGGCACCCCGCAUUCUCCUCUCUUCCGGUCUCAGCUAUUCCUAUACGUAGGGGUGAUGCUGCCCUAUCCCAGCCUGAAAUUCCUGCCUGAGUGCUCGGCCAUUGGUUCGCAGGCAGGCAUCAUGCCUAAGCCUUCCGUGAAUCCUAAUGUUCAUUGCCAAGAGGUGUGUGUGUGUUUGUGUAAAACAACCCCCCGAAUCCUAAUGUUCAUUGCCAAGGGUGUGUGUGUGUGCGUGUGUAAAACAAUCCCCCCCCCGAAUCCUUUAGG